ACAGGCCAGAAGUGUGAAAUAAGUCUUAUGAAGCUACAAGACAACGUGUCAGAGGGCUGUUUCUUUGGAGGUUCCAGAAUUCCUUAAUUUCUGUCACUACAAGAUGCUUCAUGCCCAUCUUAGAAGUUUCCUGCCCAGUCCUAGAAUCAGCUACUUCUCCAAGGUCCAUCCAUGUCGUCGCAGAUGGCAAGAUUGCAUUCUUUAUUAUGGGUCUAGAGACAACUUCCCUG
Molecule: long non-coding RNA, 230 nt
Organism: Globicephala melas (long-finned pilot whale)
Lineage: Eukaryota; Metazoa; Chordata; Mammalia; Artiodactyla; Delphinidae
Source: RefSeq, a predicted model, not a curated record